AAUGGGAAGGGGACUAGAGGGAGAUGCCACAGGGGAAGGGGAAAGGGGAAUGGGAUUUGGAAUGGGAUUGGAGGGGGAUGCCUCAGGGGAUGGGGAAGGGGAAUUGGAAGGGGACUGGAGGGAGAUGCCACAUUGAAUCGGGAAAGGGGAAUGGGAUUUGGAAUAGGAUUGGAGGGAGAUGCCUCAGGGGAAGGGAAAGGGAAUGGGAAGGGGACUGGAGGGAAAUGCCACAGGGUAAGGGGAAAGGGGAAUGGGAUUUGCAAUGGGACUGGAGGGAGAUGCUGCAAGGCUGGGGAAAAGGGAAUGGGAAAGGGACAGGAGGGAAAUGCUGCAGGGGAAGGGGAAUGGGAUUUGGAAUGGGACUGGAGGGAGAUGCCACAGAGAAAGGGGAAAGGGGAAUGGGAUUUGGAAUGGGACUGGAGGGCGAUGCAGCAGUGGAAGGGAAAAGGGAAAUUGGAAUGGGAGUGGUGGGAUAUGGCGCAGGGGAAGGGGAUGGGGAAUAGGAAUGGGACAGGAGGGAGAUUCCUCAGGGGAAGGGAAACGGGAAUGGGAAGGGGACUGGAGGGAGAUGGCACAGGGAAAGGGGAAUGGGAUUUGGAAUGGGAUUGCAGGGAGAUGCCUCAGGGGAAGGGGAAAGGGGAAUGGAAUUUGGAAUGGGACUGGAGGGAGAUGCUGGAAGGGAGGGGAAAAGGGAAUGGGAAAGGGACAGGAGGGAAAUGCUGCAGGGGAAUGGGAAUGGGAUAUGGAAUUGGACUGGAGGGAGAUGUCUCAGGGGAAGGGGAAAGGGGAAUGGGAUUUGGAAUGGUAUUGGAGGGACAUGCCUCAGGGGAAGUGGAAAGGGAAUAGGAAGCGGAUUGGAGGGAGAUGCCACAGGGAAAGGGGAAAGGGGAAUGGGAUUUUCAAUGGGACUGGAGGGCGAUGCUGCAGGGCAAGUGGAAUGGGGAAUGGGAUUUUGAAUGGGAUUGGAGGGAGAUGCCUCAGGGGAAGGGGAAAGGGAAUAGGAAGGGCACUGGAGGGAAAUGCUGCAGGGGAAGGGGAAUGGGAAUGGGACUGGAAGGAGAUGCCUCAGGGGAAGGGGAAAGGGGAAUGGCAAUGCGAUUGGUGGGAUAUUGCGCAUGGGAAUGGGAAGGGGAAUUGGAAGGGGACUGGAGGGAGAUACCACAGGGCAAGGGGAAUGGGAAUUGGAAGGGGACUGGAGGGAGAUGGCACAGGGGAAGCGGAAAGGGGAGUGGGAAUGGGAAUGGGAGUGGUGGGAUACGGCGGAGGGGAAGGGGAAGGGGAAUUGGAAGGGCACUGGAGGGAAAU
RNAcentral lists this long non-coding RNA (1305 nucleotides) under Numida meleagris (helmeted guineafowl). RNAcentral's name for it is "lncRNA (ENSNMEG00000002405.1)". The record is from RNAcentral. Lineage: Eukaryota; Metazoa; Chordata; Aves; Galliformes; Numididae.